Molecule: ribosomal RNA, 775 nt
Filed under: Acaulospora cf. laevis BEG26
Lineage: Eukaryota; Fungi; Glomeromycota; Glomeromycetes; Diversisporales; Acaulosporaceae
Description: eukaryotic LSU rRNA
Rfam family: Eukaryotic large subunit ribosomal RNA
Source: RNAcentral
ACCUCAAGUCAAGUGAGAAUACCCGCUGAACUUAAGCAUAUCAAUAAGCGGAGGAAAAGAAACUAACAAGGAUUCCCUCAGUAACGGCGAGUGAACCGGGAAAAGCUCAAAUUUAAAAUCGCUUGGGUUUACCUGAGUGAGUUGUAAUUUGAAGAAAGUGUUUCGACUUUUCGGGUUUGAUCCAAAUCCUUUGGGAUGAGGUAUCAUAGAGGGUGAGAAUCCCGUUCAUGAUUGAACCUGAGUUGUCAAUGAUUCAUUCUCUAAGAGUCGAGUUGUUUGGGAUUGCAGCUCAAAAUGGGUGGUAAAUUUCACCUAAGGCUAAAUAUCUGCGAGAGACCGAUAGCGAACAAGUACCGUGAGGGAAAGAUGAAAAGAACUUUGAAAAGAGAGUUAAAAAGUACGUGAAAUUGUUGAAAGGGAAACGAUUGAAGUCAGUCAUGCUAGCGAGGAAUCAACUUGGUGGUGUGAGUCUCUCAUCUCCUCCGUGUGCACUUCCUCGUCUGGCAGGUUAGCAUCAAUUUUGAUUGUCAUCAAAUAAUUGGGGUAAUGUGGCUUCGCUUCGGUGGAGUGUUAUAGACCCUGGUGGAUGUGGCGAUUGGGAUUGAGGAUUGCAGCGGAUGCCUCUUGGCUAGUCACCUGGCUUCUGGCGGUCACCUCGCUUUUGACAGCUUGCUGAUGAUCGUGGGACCCGACAGUCUAGAAGUUAGAGUGAUCUUAAAUUCGCUAAGGAUGCUGACGUAAUGGCUUUAAACGACCCGUCUUGAAACACGGACCA